RNAcentral lists this ribosomal RNA (301 nucleotides) under uncultured bacterium. RNAcentral's name for it is "partial 16S ribosomal RNA". It matches the Rfam family "Bacterial small subunit ribosomal RNA", at positions 509 to 807 of the family's 1533-position model. The record is from RNAcentral.
CAGCCGCCGCGGUAAUACGAAGGGUGCAAGCGUUAAUCGGAAUUACUGGGCGUAAAGGGUGCGUAGGCGGUUGUUUAAGUCUGUUGUGAAAUCCCCGGGCUCAACCUGGGAAAGGCAAUGGAAACUGGACGGCUAGAGUGUGUCAGAGGAUGGUGGAAUUCCCGGUGUAGCGGUGAAAUGCGUAGAGAUCGGGAGGAACAUCAGUGGCGAAGGCGGCCAUCUGGGACAACACUGACGCCGAAGCACGAAAGCGUGGGGAGCAAACAGGAUUAGAUACCCCCGUAGUCCCUGUCUCUUAUAC